Molecule: ribosomal RNA, 197 nt
Filed under: uncultured bacterium
Lineage: Bacteria
Description: partial 16S ribosomal RNA
Rfam family: Bacterial small subunit ribosomal RNA
Source: RNAcentral
ACGCUCGACACCUACGGGGGGCAGCAGUGGGGAAUAUUGCACAAUGGGGGAAACCCUGAUGCAGCGACGCCGCGUGAAGGAAGAAGUAUCUCGGUAUGUAAACUUCUAUCAGCAGGGAAGAAAAUGACGGUACCUGACUAAGAAGCCCCGGCUAACUACGUGCCAGCAGCCGCGGUAAUCUGAGCGGGCUGCAAGGC